This 73-nucleotide transfer RNA is filed under the name Parcubacteria group bacterium. RNAcentral describes it as "tRNA-Arg". It matches the Rfam family "tRNA". Rfam says of the family: Transfer RNA (tRNA) molecules are approximately 80 nucleotides in length. The record is from RNAcentral.
GUCCCCAUAAUUCAACCGGAUAGAAUGCCACCCUCCUAAGGUGGAGAUAGAGGUUCGACUCCUCUUGGGGACA